Non-coding RNA from Aedes albopictus (Asian tiger mosquito), 46 nucleotides. The record is from Rfam. Lineage: Eukaryota; Metazoa; Arthropoda; Insecta; Diptera; Culicidae.
CCAACGGCCCUUUUCAGGGCCACAGAAAAUUCCACUUCGAAUUCGU